AGCAGCCGCGGUAAUUCCAGCUCCAAUAGCGUAUAUUAAAGUUGUUGCAGUUAAAAAGCUCGUAGUUGAAUUUCGGGGUUAGUAGGUUGGUCAUGCCUCUGGUAUGUACUGGUCUCACUGAUUCCUCCUUCCUGAUGAGCCGUAAUGCCAUUAAUUUGGUGUUGCGGGGAAUUUGGACUGUUACUUUGAAAAAAUUAGAGUGUUUAAAGCAAGCUAACGCUUGAAUACAUUAGCAUGGAAUAAUGAAAUAGGACGUUCGAUCCUAUUUUGUUGGUUUCUAGGAUUGACGUAAUGAUUAAUAGGGAUAGUUGGGGGCAUUAGUAUUCAAUUGUCACAGGUGAAAUUCCUGGAUUUAUUUGAAGACUAACUACUGCCAAAGCAUUUGCCAAGGAUGUUUUCAUUAAUCAAGAACG
Molecule: ribosomal RNA, 413 nt
Filed under: uncultured Glomus
Lineage: Eukaryota; Fungi; Glomeromycota; Glomeromycetes; Glomerales; Glomeraceae
Description: SSU rRNA
Rfam family: Eukaryotic small subunit ribosomal RNA
Source: RNAcentral